CGAGCCGGCCCCAAUCCGCCGCUAAUGGCAGCUCCAGCGUGUAUACCCGCCACCCCUAACUUAACCCAACCAAACUUAACCUAACUUAUACAUUAUUCUGAAAAUCUCAGAAAAUUUGAUAUUGAUACACAAUAUCUUCAAAGUCAAGUGUAUGAUGGUGAAGGAUCGAUGGCCAGGAAAUAUUAUGGAACUUAAGCUUAUAUAAAAAAAUAACUAACC
Molecule: non-coding RNA, 219 nt
Organism: Cinara cedri
Lineage: Eukaryota; Metazoa; Arthropoda; Insecta; Hemiptera; Aphididae
Source: the annotation of a GenBank genome assembly